RNAcentral lists this transfer RNA (72 nucleotides) under Bos taurus (domestic cattle). It matches the Rfam family "tRNA". Rfam says of the family: Transfer RNA (tRNA) molecules are approximately 80 nucleotides in length. Their secondary structure includes four short double-helical elements and three loops (D, anti-codon, and T loops). RNAcentral also lists the same sequence under 1 other name. Lineage: Eukaryota; Metazoa; Chordata; Mammalia; Artiodactyla; Bovidae. The record is from Rfam by way of RNAcentral.
UCCCAGGUGGCUCAGAUGGUAAAGAUUCUGCCUCCAUUGCAGGAGACCUAGGUUCAAUCCCUGGAUUGGGAA